RNAcentral lists this ribosomal RNA (376 nucleotides) under Metaphire sieboldi (earthworm). Its description in RNAcentral is "partial 16S ribosomal RNA". It matches the Rfam family "Bacterial large subunit ribosomal RNA", at positions 1926 to 2541 of the family's 2925-position model. The record is from RNAcentral. Lineage: Eukaryota; Metazoa; Annelida; Clitellata; Crassiclitellata; Megascolecidae.
AACGGCCGCGGUAUCCUAACCGUGCAAAGGUAGCAUAAUCACUUGCCUAUUAAUUGUAGGCUAGAAUGAAUGGGUUAACGAAAUAAAGACUGUCUCAAUUAAUCACCUAAAAAUUACUAUCUACCUGAAGAAGAGUAGAUAAUCUCGAAGGACAAGAAGACCCUAUAGAGCUUAAUUUUAAUUAUAGGACUAUACUAUAAAAAUAUUCGGUUGGGGCGACCCAGGGCUAAUUAAUCACCCACUACAUAAAAGAUAAAUUAAUCAAGUAAUUGACCCCUAAAAGAUCACAAGAACAAGCUACCUUAGGGAUAACAGGCUAAUCCCACUCAAGAGUCCUUAUCAACAGUGGGGUUUGGCACCUCGAUGUUGGCUUAGG